Molecule: small RNA, 29 nt
Filed under: Bombyx mori (domestic silkworm)
Lineage: Eukaryota; Metazoa; Arthropoda; Insecta; Lepidoptera; Bombycidae
Description: ovarian small RNA-31952
Source: RNAcentral
UGACUGAUCAGUUCACCAUCAGCAAGGUA